Long non-coding RNA from Micropterus dolomieu (smallmouth bass), 1322 nucleotides. RefSeq lists it as uncharacterized. Lineage: Eukaryota; Metazoa; Chordata; Actinopteri; Centrarchiformes; Centrarchidae. The transcript is spliced from 6 exons. The record is from RefSeq and is a predicted model, not a curated record.
GUUGGCUGCUCUGUGUCUCCUGCUCCUGCAGACAGGAGCUUUUGGGUUUAGGAUCCUACUUGAUGUAAACUCUCUGAGUCAUCAGGAAAUCACUCAGAUAGCGAUCUUAAAUAUCACCGUGCAAGUGUGCCGAGCUCUGACCUCCGCAGCAUUUUACGGCCAAGUCUGUUGCUGAUACCUGUCAAGCAAAUUCAUCCAACAGCUUCAUCCAAACGAUCAGUUUAAUCCAAGAUAAAAAUCGAGAUGUAGACCUUCAGCAUUUGUCUGACCCACCCUAUCACUUUGACCAUGAGAAAUUUUCCGGGGGAGAAGAAAAAUCAUCACAGAUGGAUUAUCAGCUGUGAAAGCCAGCAACAAGUUAUAGAACUUUGGGGCAGCAAGAGAACAACUGGGCACAAUCUUACACACUUUACAGGAUUUCUACAGUCAUAGCAACUGGGUGGAAAUGGAAAACACACUCCCAAACUCCAAUCUGAUCAGAUCAGACACCAGCAUCGGUAACAUUGCAGCUGAAAGCAGAGCAACCUGUCACAACUGUAAUGUAGACGACUGCACAAACAACAUUUUGGAGGACAUCCUGCAGGAAAUAUUACUUAACUCUGGAUAUACUGGUGUUUCCAAACCAAAUGGGUCUAAGCUGCUUCUGAUGGUGGCUGCACAUCUGCUCGUACUGGCUGAGGCUGGAUGUGGAUCAACUGUGUUAGUACUGACUGACUAGCUAGUACUGGCUGACGAUCCAGCGUCUACUCUACUGACAAACUUAAGCAUAGCCCUUGUAAAUUAUAGAUAAUAAUGCUUGCUCAUCUCCUUUAAUUGGAAAAUGCAGCCAUAGAGGUACGCAUGAUAUAUCAAGUACAAUUGAGCCUAAAGGUGGGAUCAACAAAGACACGUUAAGCUCGAACCAUGGACAUCUCCACAUUACAGCAGCAGAUUUGGCGAUAUCUGCAACCAGUGAGCUACUAGAGGACGUUCGAAAGGCUGCUGGUGACCGAGUAUUCCUACAGUAUGUAACCCCCAUUCUGCAUGUUUCAGUUAUGUACACUACUGUAAGAAGACAAAGGGAUUUAAUCUCUAUUUUAUAUGUCUCUCUCCAUUCCUUAGGAUGAUAGGAAUCUCCAAAGGCUCCAGUAACGCUCUUUGUAUGUUGUUGUUUUGGUUUAUGGUGUGUGUAUGUGCAUACUUAACACUGUAGCUGAGCUGAUUUGUUUAAGCUGUUCUGUGUAUAUAACGAGAGCAAUGUAAUCAAAUUCCUCAUAUGUGUGCACAUACUCUGCCAUUACAGCUGAUUCAGAUUCUUAGGUCUUGAUUGAAAUAAAGCAUGA